Molecule: ribosomal RNA, 497 nt
Filed under: uncultured bacterium
Lineage: Bacteria
Description: partial 16S ribosomal RNA
Rfam family: Bacterial small subunit ribosomal RNA
Source: RNAcentral
GACGAACGCUGGCGGCGUGCCUAAUACAUGCAAGUAGAACGCUGAAGAGAGGAGCUUGCUCUUCUUGGAUGAGUUGCGAACGGGUGAGUAACGCGUAGGUAACUUGCCUUGUAGCGGGGGAUAACUAUUGGAAACGAUAGCUAAUACCGCAUAACAAUGGAUGACACAUGUCAUUUAUUUGAAAGGGGCAAUUGCUCCACUACAAGAUGGACCUGCGUUGUAUUAGCUAGUAGGUGAGGUAAUGGCUCACCUAGGCGACGAUACAUAGCCGACCUGAGAGGGUGAUCGGCCACACUGGGACUGAGACACGGCCCAGACUCCUACGGGAGGCAGCAGUAGGGAAUCUUCGGCAAUGGGGGCAACCCUGACCGAGCAACGCCGCGUGAGUGAAGAAGGUUUUCGGAUCGUAAAGCUCUGUUGUAAGUCAAGAACGGGUGUGAGAGUGGAAAGUUCACACUGUGACGGUAGCUUACCAGAAAGGGACGGCUAACUACGUG